This 532-nucleotide ribosomal RNA is filed under the name uncultured bacterium. RNAcentral's name for it is "bacterial SSU rRNA". It matches the Rfam family "Bacterial small subunit ribosomal RNA", at positions 336 to 860 of the family's 1533-position model. The record is from RNAcentral.
CUCCUACGGGAGGCAGCAGUGGGGAAUAUUGGACAAUGGGCGAAAGCCUGAUCCAGCCAUUCCGCGUGUGUGAAGAAGGUCUUCGGAUUGUAAAGCACUUUAAGUUGGGAGGAAGGGCAGUUAUCUAAUACGUGAUUGUUUUGACGUUCCCGACAGAAUAAGCUCCGGCUAACUCUGUGCCAGCAGCCGCGGUAAUACAGAGGGUGCAAGCGUUAAUCGGAAUUACUGGGGGUAAAGCGCGCGUAGGUGGUUAGUUAAGUUGGAUGUGAAAUCCCCGGGCUCAACCUGGGAACUGCAUUCAAAACUGACUGACUAGAGUAUGGUAGAGGGUGGUGGAAUUUCCUGUGUAGCGGUGAAAUGCGUAGAUAUAGGAAGGAACACCAGUGGCGAAGGCGACCACCUGGACUGAUACUGACACUGAGGUGCGAAAGCGUGGGGGGCAACCAGGAUUAGAUACCCUGGUAGUCCACGCCGUAAACGAUGUCAACUAGCCGUUGGGGGCCUUGAGCUCUUAGUGGCGCAGCUAACGCAU